AGUGAACGCUGGCGGUAGGCCUAACACAUGCAAGUCGAACGGCAGCACAGUAAGAGCUUGCUCUUACGGGUGGCGAGUGGCGGACGGUUGAGGAAUACCUCGGAAUCUACUUUUUCGUGGGGGAUAACGUAGGGAAACUUACGCUAAUAUCGCAUACGACCUACGGGUGAAAGCAGGGCAUCUUCCGACCUUGCGCGAGUUAAUGAGCUGAUGUCGGAUUAGCUAGUUGGAGGGGUAAAGGCCCACCAAGGCAGCGAUCCGUAGCUGGUCUGAGAGGAUGAUCAGCCACACUGGAACUGAGACACGGUCCAGACUCCUACGGGAGGCAGCAGUGGGGAAUAUUGGACAAUGGGCGCAAGCCUGAUCCAGCCAUACCGCGUGAGUGAAGAAGGCCUUCGGGUUGUAAAGCCCUUUUGUUGGGAAAGAAAAGCAGCAGGUGAAUACCCCGCUGUUCUGACGGUACCCAAAGAAUAAGCACCGGCUAACUUCGUG
This 492-nucleotide ribosomal RNA is filed under the name uncultured bacterium. RNAcentral describes it as "partial 16S ribosomal RNA". It matches the Rfam family "Bacterial small subunit ribosomal RNA", at positions 29 to 507 of the family's 1533-position model. The record is from RNAcentral.